CAACCCUCGAGCCCCCCGUGGCCCGGCGUUGGGGAUCUGCCACGGCAGGCCCCUAAAACCAGUGGCGGACCCGCUGGGCCCUCUCCUUUGCGCAGUAGCAUCAGCCUCGCAUCGGGAGCCCUCGGCGUCCUGCCUCUAAACCCCCCACAAGCCCGCUCCGGCGGCACCAA
Molecule: unclassified non-coding RNA, 170 nt
Filed under: Plectosphaerella oratosquillae
Lineage: Eukaryota; Fungi; Ascomycota; Sordariomycetes; Glomerellales; Plectosphaerellaceae
Description: sequence contains ITS2
Source: RNAcentral